UACUAAAAAACGUACAUGAGCAACAUACCUCUGAAGCCAUUUAUACCCGGUCUUCUUAAACUACCGCACUUUGUUUCUAUCCAGAUUAAACGAGAAACGAGAUGAAGAAAUCGUCGUAUUCUUACUUUGUCUCGACCAAGUAACUGUCUUAUCACAGUGAUUAAUUAAGGAGAUCAUUUCUUGUCCCAGAUCUGGCAGCGCUUGCGGCUCCACGCGGUAGAUGUGGUCCCGGAGAUGCUGUUCCGGCGGAUGCAGACGGAGUACCGAAGGAUCCGGUUCGGGCCUAACAGCGUCGGCUCAAAGAUAGGUCUUACGGAGCUUGUGGUCAGAUGAAGGGUGCGGUUCCCGGGAAGUGUAGUUUCGGUGAAUGCCGGAGAAUCCAGUUCGGGCUGAGCAGGGUCGGCUCGAAGAUAUCGUUCAAAAACUUUUCGUAUUCUCGCACUUAACCACUUACGAUCGAAAAUUGGAACGUAGUUGUCCAAGUAAAAUUCGUUGAGUUACAAAUAGCAAAAGAACUGCAGCAAAAUGUGGCCGACCCUGAGGUCCUAGUAAUCGAUGAGUCAAGCACAAAGAACGAAAUAUAUACAGGGUGUCUGUGACGAUAAAACGUGUACGUGUACGUGUAGAGUAAAUCAAACUGAAUAAAAAAUUCCUCUACAAAUUUUCCUC
Odontomachus brunneus is the source of this 669-nucleotide long non-coding RNA. RefSeq lists it as uncharacterized. Lineage: Eukaryota; Metazoa; Arthropoda; Insecta; Hymenoptera; Formicidae. The transcript has 3 exons. The record is from RefSeq and is a predicted model, not a curated record.